CCUACGGGGGGCAGCAGUGAGGAAUAUUGGUCAAUGGACGAGAGUCUGAACCAGCCAAGUAGCGUGAAGGAUGACUGCCCUAUGGGUUGUAAACUUCUUUUAUAUGGGAAUAAAAUGUUCCACGUGUGGGAUUUUGUAUGUACCAUAUGAAUAAGGAUCGGCUAACUCCGUGCCAGCAGCCGCGGUAAUACGGAGGAUCCGAGCGUUAUCCGGAUUUAUUGGGUUUAAAGGGUGCGUAGGCGGAUCGUUAAGUCAAUGGUCAAAUUGAGGGGCUCAACCCCUUCCCGCCAUUGAAACUGGCGUUC
RNAcentral lists this ribosomal RNA (305 nucleotides) under uncultured bacterium. RNAcentral's name for it is "bacterial SSU rRNA". It matches the Rfam family "Bacterial small subunit ribosomal RNA", at positions 338 to 641 of the family's 1533-position model. The record is from RNAcentral.